UUUCAGUUUUGAAAAGAAAAGAAAAUGAAUGCUCUUCCUAUCACCAUCUCUACCGUUUCUACCGUUUUGUUCCUGCACUCACCGAUUGCACGUGGUGAUGGAUUCCGUGGAGACAUUUUAAUCUUAUCAGGCAUCUCUGCAGUCACAGCUGACCAGUACAGACAGAAGCUUUCCUGACCACAACUGACAGCAGCUCUAUUAGAUCGCCAUAAACAUAGUUAUUUAGAAGACAAUUUGCUGUUUUACUAAAUAGACAUGAUGUGCACCUGUCAAAUUGCCAUUUCCUUUUCUUUUUCUUUUUCUUUUUUUUUUUCAUAUGUCCAUGCAGUAAUGAGGGGCUUCAUUUCUCCACUGAAUUGCUUUUUUAGUUUACUUGAAAAGGAGAUAUCCACAUGUGUGUUUGGCGAUCGGCUCAGCACUAUGCUUUCUUGGUCAGUGGGUCUGCUUUGCCAGGGUUACCCGUUCGCUUGAUGACUUUGAUCUUCUGAUUCUUACAAUCAGGUCUAGUUACUCUUCUGAAAAGCCAUUUGGUAAAUUAUAAAUCUUUGCAUUUCUGCAUGACAUUUAGAAUCUAGUCAUUAAUUUUCUGAUUGACUUGUUAGCCAUUCUAUUUUGAUCAAAGAACAUAUUGGUAUGAAACGCAUUAUUUUAAUUUUUGAGACUUAUUUUGUUGUCCAGAAUAUUGUCUUGAUAAAUCUGUCCUGUUCAUUGGAAAAUACAUACAUUAUUCUGAAUUAAAUGCUCUGUAAAAUUCAAUUCAACAACUUUGUCUGCAAGCUUGUUCAAAUCUGCAUCUGUACUGAUUUUUUUUUUUUAAUGUGCUCAUUCUAUAAAUUAACAAAUGGGCAAUUAAAUCCCUUCUGGAACCUGUGGGUUGUACUUUUCCAUUUUUGUAGAAGUGGCAAAUUUUAGUUCAUCCUUUUCAUAGCUCAGAUAUUAGACAGAGGUUCAGGAAUAUUGUAUUAUCUUGAUGAAUUGAUCCCUCUGUCAUUAUAAUAGAAUCUUUGCCUAUAGCAAUCUUCUUCACACUGAUAUCUUUAUU
Mus pahari (shrew mouse) is the source of this 1042-nucleotide long non-coding RNA. RefSeq lists it as uncharacterized. The transcript has 3 exons. NCBI's taxonomy places the organism in Eukaryota, Metazoa, Chordata, Mammalia, Rodentia, Muridae. The record is from RefSeq and is a predicted model, not a curated record.